GGAGUUUGGGCCGUGUCUCAGUCCCAAUGUGGCCGGUCACCCUCUCAGGUCGGCUACUGAUCGUCGCCUUGGUGAGCCGUUACCUCACCAACUAGCUAAUCAGACGCGGGUCCAUCUUGUACCGAAAAACUUUUCACACUAUAUCAUGCGAUAUCGUGCGCUUAUGCGGUAUUAGCAGUCGUUUCCAACUGUUGUCCCCCUGUACAAGGUAGGUUACCCACGCGUUACUCACCCGUCCGCCACUCAGUCAACAAAUCGUCACCCCGAAGGGAUCGUGAUAAGUUGCUUCGUUCGACUUGCAUGUGUUAAGCACGCCGCCAGCGUUCAUC
Molecule: ribosomal RNA, 329 nt
Filed under: uncultured Pseudobutyrivibrio sp.
Lineage: Bacteria; Bacillati; Bacillota; Clostridia; Lachnospirales; Lachnospiraceae
Description: partial 16S ribosomal RNA
Source: RNAcentral